RNAcentral lists this ribosomal RNA (247 nucleotides) under uncultured bacterium. Its description in RNAcentral is "partial 16S ribosomal RNA". It matches the Rfam family "Bacterial small subunit ribosomal RNA", at positions 333 to 594 of the family's 1533-position model. The record is from RNAcentral.
GGUGACCUACGGGGCGCAGCAGUGGGGAAUAUUGGGCAAUGGGCGCAAGCCUGACCCAGCAACGCCGCGUGAAGGAAGAAGGCCCUCGGGUUGUAAACUUCUUUUAUUCGGGACGAAACAAAUGACGGGACCGAAUGAAUAAGCCACGGCUAACUACGUGCCAGCAGCCGCGGUAAUACGUAGGGGGCAAGCGUUAUCCGGAUUUACUGGGUGGAAAGAGCGUGUAGGCGGGAGAGCAAGUCAGACG